RNAcentral lists this unclassified non-coding RNA (526 nucleotides) under Hevea brasiliensis (rubber tree). Lineage: Eukaryota; Viridiplantae; Streptophyta; Magnoliopsida; Malpighiales; Euphorbiaceae. The record is from RNAcentral.
UGGGAUUUUAAACAUGAUCACACAUAUAAUUCAUUUAUUGCAUACUCUAUACCUUUGGUGAACAGUCACCACAAAUCUCAUAUGUUCCAUACUCAUUUGCAUCUUCAAUCACCAAGUGAUAACCCAAAAUUAGAAGAUAACAAAGCAUAAUCAGUUUUUCUAUCCAAAUCCCUAGUUGGAAGUUUAUUUGAAGAAAUUGGAACAAGCAUAUGGAAGUAUAUAUUGAACAUAAGCAUGGUUAAACCACACUUCAUUGAACAUGUAAGCAUUAGUAGUUCUGCACAUCGGCAUGCAGCAAGUAUUGAAGCCUUAGUACUAUGAUACUAAGUGUUCAAAGCCAUCAAACAUUUCACCAACUUAUCUCCAAAUAAAGUCACUGCCUCAAGCUCUCAACGAUGUAAGAUGCAUACAGAUCCAUGGAAUAAUUGAUGGCAUCAAUGGCUGCCUCAGCUGGCAAGAAGUCCUCCACAGCAACUUUCUUGUUCUCAUUCUUUUUGUAGUCCUCAAAAAAGCGGCGGAUUUCAGC